CAGGGGAAGGAACUGAGGCCCAGCACCAGACCAGAAGCUAAAUGCAUGCCUUUCCACUUCCCCAGCCUGCACCUUCUCGGGCUACACGACAUCCCUUUGCUAACAUUGUCUGUUUUUAGGGCACCGUCUAGGGAUACAGUUGGCAGCAGUGGGUCAGAAGCAAUGAGCAGAUGAGUGAGAGGAGGACCCCAGGGCAGAAGGGGACGCCUACAGGGACCCAGUGUGUGCCAGGCACUGCCCUAGGGCUUAAAGACCGCCCUGGCCCCUCCCUUGCCAGUCAGCUGGAGUCAGUAUGCAAAGCAAGGUCUCCCACUCUGGAUUCAGGGCAGACCUGUCAUUUUAUCUCUUUCUUUCCAAUAUCCAUAGUACCCUUAAUAAAGAAAAUGAGUGAAGUUGGAAAAUUGAAGAUUGGAAAGAGAAUUUUUUUUUUUCACGAGGCAAGCCUCCCGUUCAUUCCUUUGGGUGUCAGAGGGUGGUGAGGGGUGCUCCAGGGAGGAAAUGAAGCCCUUGCUGUGGGGAGGAGGAUUCACCUCAUAUCUAAUAAGGUUCUUCUGACAACGCCAAGAUACACACCCCGCACGCACUCUUCCUCGCCACGUGAAUAGAAUAUGAUUAUUUCUAACGUCUCUAUCUGAAAGGAAAUGACCACAGCCAGAAACGAAGCAGACAGACGGCUGGAGCGGAGACUCAGAGACGGAAGCCAUCAACUGGACAGCUGGGUGCGAGGGAGACCUCCUCACCAAGUGUCCCCCUUUCUGGGUCAUGCACCCCCAGCCCCAGAAGAGGAGAGCAGACUCUGCUGUGCAGGCCCCUGACUUCCAAUUUGAAGCCGCAAGCCAGGUAUGGAAAUCAGAGCAAUAAAGAGACGAUGCCUCCCAGAUGCACAGGACGCUGGCUGUGUCGGGAAGCUAUCCAUCACAGCUGGCAGACACGCGUGGGCUUAGUGUGUAUCCCCCUGAUCCAUCGAAGGGCUGGAUGGUUUUCUGGGAAGUGGGAGGAGGGGCUAAUGAAACCACAAGGUUGGCAGAGACUGCCGAUGCAGAGUGCCCAGCUAGAAACUUUUCUUUCCACUGAGCAAAAGUGACUGCAACUUUUGAGAUCAA
RNAcentral lists this long non-coding RNA (1103 nucleotides) under Macaca fascicularis (crab-eating macaque). Its description in RNAcentral is "lncRNA (ENSMFAG00000050206.1)". The record is from RNAcentral. Lineage: Eukaryota; Metazoa; Chordata; Mammalia; Primates; Cercopithecidae.